RNAcentral lists this long non-coding RNA (349 nucleotides) under Manihot esculenta (cassava). RNAcentral's name for it is "long non-coding RNA (MESC_LNC009863)". The record is from RNAcentral. Lineage: Eukaryota; Viridiplantae; Streptophyta; Magnoliopsida; Malpighiales; Euphorbiaceae.
UUCUCCUGCACGGUUCACAGAAACGCGGUAUACCUUCCCUGAUCCCCCACUUCCAAUCAGAUUAUUUUCUGUCAAACUUGGCAAAAUGUUUGCUUGUGUGAAACCUACUUUCUGGAAUGAGGUCAGUUUCCAUAACGCCAGUUCACGUUUAUGCUUCUUUGUCAGAUAGUCUCUAACUGCAAACAUGGUUAAUAUAGCAGUAACUAUGAAGAUAGUUAUGGCAAGAACAAGGAUCAUCGCAAGAAAUUUAGAGGACAGUUUGUUGGAACUUCUAGGUCUGAAAUAGCAAUUUGGAAGGUUUAGAACUGGAUUAACAGCACAAAGAUUAGAAUUGUUCAGAAAGCUGUUU